CGUGCAGAGGGGCCCGUGGAGAGAGAGGGAGGCCGUGAGGACGGCGUGCAGAGGGGCCCGUGGAGGGAGAGGGAGGCUGUGAGGACGGUGUGCAGAGGGGCCCGUGGAGGGAGAGGGAGGCCGUGAGGACGGUGUGUAGAGGGGCCCGUGGAGGGAGAGGGAGGCUGUGAGGAUGGCGUGUAGAGGGAGGCUGGGAGGACAGUGUGUAGAGGGGUCCGUGGAGGGAGAGGGAGGCCGUCAGGAUGGCGAGCAGAGGGGUCUGUGGAAGGAGAGGGAGACCAUGAGGAUGGUGUGCAGAGGGAGGCUGUGAGGACGGUGUGCAGAGGGAGGCUGUGAGGACGGUGUGCAGAGGGAGGCUGUGAGGACGGUGUGCAGAGGGAGACCAUGAGGAUGGUGUGCAGAGGGAGGCUGUGAGGACGGUGUGCAGAGGGAGACUGUGAGGACGGUGUGCAGAGGGGCCCGUGGAGGGAGGAGGACACUGGACACAGGGAGGGGCCCCCGUCAAUCAUGGCACCUCCCCCACAGAGUGCAGCUGGGUGGCAUGGCCGCUGCUGCUGGAGAUGGGGCCGUGCACCUGGCCUCACAGAGAGCCCCAUUUACCAUGCGCCUUGGCUCCUGACACCCACAGUUGGAGAGGCAGGUCCCUCUGUCUCCACU
RNAcentral lists this long non-coding RNA (657 nucleotides) under Homo sapiens (human). RNAcentral's name for it is "non-protein coding lnc-FTCD-6:1". The record is from RNAcentral. Lineage: Eukaryota; Metazoa; Chordata; Mammalia; Primates; Hominidae.